CAGCCGCCACGGGAAUACGCAGGUGGCAAGCGUUGUCCGGAAUUAUUGGGCGUAAAGGGCUCGCAGGCGGUUUCUUAAGUCUGAUGUGAAAGCCCCCGGCUCAACCGGGGAGGGUCAUUGGAAACUGGGAAACUUGAGUGCAGAAGAGGAGAGUGGAAUUCCACGUGUAGCGGUGAAAUGCGUAGAGAUGUGGAGGAACACCAGUGGCGAAGGCGACUCUCUGGUCUGUAACUGACGCUGAGGAGCGAAAGCGUGGGGAGCGAACAGGAUUAGAUACCCGCGUAGUCCCUGUCUCUUAUAC
Molecule: ribosomal RNA, 301 nt
Filed under: uncultured bacterium
Lineage: Bacteria
Description: partial 16S ribosomal RNA
Rfam family: Bacterial small subunit ribosomal RNA
Source: RNAcentral